This 26-nucleotide non-coding RNA is filed under the name Mus musculus (house mouse). Lineage: Eukaryota; Metazoa; Chordata; Mammalia; Rodentia; Muridae. The record is from RNAcentral.
UGAUGACUUUGGGUUGGAAGUCAAUC